Molecule: ribosomal RNA, 33 nt
Filed under: Atropa belladonna (belladonna)
Lineage: Eukaryota; Viridiplantae; Streptophyta; Magnoliopsida; Solanales; Solanaceae
Source: RNAcentral
GGAUGCGAUCAUACCAACACUAACGCACCGGAU